RNAcentral lists this ribosomal RNA (478 nucleotides) under Porphyromonas endodontalis. RNAcentral describes it as "bacterial SSU rRNA". It matches the Rfam family "Bacterial small subunit ribosomal RNA", at positions 28 to 494 of the family's 1533-position model. The record is from RNAcentral. Lineage: Bacteria; Pseudomonadati; Bacteroidota; Bacteroidia; Bacteroidales; Porphyromonadaceae.
GAUGAACGCUAGCGAUAGGCUUAACACAUGCAAGUCGAGGGGCAGCAUUAUUUUAGCUUGCUAAGAUAGAUGGCGACCGGCGCACGGGUGCGUAACGCGUAUGCAACCUGCCUGUAAUUAGGGAAUAACCCGGUGAAAGUCGGACUAAUACCCUAUAUUCUUCUUUCUCCGCAUGGAGGAGGACGGAAAGAUUUAUUGAUUACAGAUGGGCAUGCGUCCCAUUAGCUAGUUGGUAAGGUAACGGCUUACCAAGGCAACGAUGGGUAGGGGGACUGAGAGGUUGACCCCCCACACUGGUACAGAGACACGGACCAGACUCCUACGGGAGGCAGCAGUGAGGAAUAUUGGUCAAUGGGCGAGAGCCUGAACCAGCCAAGUCGCGUGAAGGACGACGGUUCUAUGGAUUGUAAACUUCUUUUGUAGAGGAAUAACGGCAGCUACGUGUAGCUGAGAUGCAUGUACUCUACGAAUAAGUAUC